This 477-nucleotide ribosomal RNA is filed under the name uncultured bacterium. RNAcentral's name for it is "partial 16S ribosomal RNA". It matches the Rfam family "Bacterial small subunit ribosomal RNA", at positions 28 to 507 of the family's 1533-position model. The record is from RNAcentral.
GAUGAACGCUGGCGGCGUGCCUAAUACAUGCAAGUCGAGCGAACAGACGAGGAGCUUGCUCCUCUGACGUUAGCGGCGGACGGGUGAGUAACACGUGGAUAACCUACCUAUAAGACUGGGAUAACUUCGGGAAACCGGAGCUAAUACCGGAUAAUAUAUUGAACCGCAUGGUUCAAUAGUGAAAGACGGUUUUGCUGUCACUUAUAGAUGGAUCCGCGCCGCAUUAGCUAGUUGGUAAGGUAACGGCUUACCAAGGCAACGAUGGGUAGCCGGCCUGAGAGGGUGACCGGCGACGUUGGGACUGAGAUACGGACAAGACUCCUAGGGGAGGCAGCAGUCGGGAAUAUUGCACAAUGGGCGGAAGCCUGAUGCAGAAACGCCGCGUGCGUGAUGACGGCCUUCGGGUUGUAAACCGCUUUCGCCGGUGACGAAGCGUGAGUGACGGUAAUGGGUAAAGAAGCACCGGCUAACUACGUG